This 73-nucleotide transfer RNA is filed under the name Patagioenas fasciata monilis. It matches the Rfam family "tRNA". From Rfam's summary of the family: Transfer RNA (tRNA) molecules are approximately 80 nucleotides in length. Their secondary structure includes four short double-helical elements and three loops (D, anti-codon, and T loops). Lineage: Eukaryota; Metazoa; Chordata; Aves; Columbiformes; Columbidae. The record is from Rfam by way of RNAcentral.
UAGAUAGAAGCCUGUUGGUUUAGGCACCUGCCUGUUAACCAGGGGUUUAUGGGAUCGAGGCUUAUCUGUCUAG